RNAcentral lists this ribosomal RNA (373 nucleotides) under uncultured organism. RNAcentral describes it as "partial 16S ribosomal RNA". It matches the Rfam family "Bacterial small subunit ribosomal RNA", at positions 527 to 896 of the family's 1533-position model. The record is from RNAcentral.
GAAGGUGGCAAGCGUUGUUCGGAAUCAUUGGGCUUAAAGCGCACGUAGGGCGGACUGGAAAGUGUCUUGUGAAAACCCACGGGCUUAACCGUGGAAUUGCUUGGCAAACUAUCAGUCUUGAGGCAAGUAGGGGUACAUGGAACUCUUAGUGGAGCGGUGGAAUGCGUAGAUAUUAAGAGGAACGCCAAUGGUGAAGACAGUGUACUGGGCUUGUACUGACGCUGAGGUGCGAAAGCGUGGGGAGCGAACGGGAUUAGAUACCCCGGUAGUCCACGCCGUAAACGAUGUCUACUGGAUCGUGGGAGUUCUGACACUUUCACGGUCGAAGCAAAAGUGAUAAGUAGACCGCCUGGGGAGUACGGUCGCAAGGCUA